This 465-nucleotide ribosomal RNA is filed under the name uncultured bacterium. RNAcentral's name for it is "bacterial SSU rRNA". It matches the Rfam family "Bacterial small subunit ribosomal RNA", at positions 917 to 1382 of the family's 1533-position model. The record is from RNAcentral.
GGGCCCGCACAAGCGGAGGAACAUGUGGUUUAAUUCGAUGAUACGCGAGGAACCUUACCCGGGCUUGAAUUGCAGAGCGAUGGACCAGAGACGGUCCAGUCCUUCGGGAGUUCUGUGAAGGUGCUGCAUGGUUGUCGUCAGCUCGUGCCGUGAGGUGUCGGCUUAAGUGCCAUAACGAGCGCAACCCCUGCCGCCAGUUGCCAUCACGUAAAGGUGGGCACUCUGGCGGGACUGCCGCCGCAAGGUGUGAGGAAGGCGGGGAUGACGUCAAAUCAGCACGGCCCUUACGUCCGGGGCGACACACGUGUUACAAUGGCGCGCACAGGAAGCAGGGGCUAUGCGAAUAGUUCCGAAUCAAGAAAGCGCGCCUCAGUUCGGACUGGGGUCUGCAACCCGACCCCACGAAGCUGGAUUCGCUAGUAAUCGCGCAUCAGCCAUGGCGCGGUGAAUACGUUCCCGGGCCUU